UCACUGUAGAGUACUGAGUAGGGCUCCCUGUGUCAUCAGUAGGUGGUAGGUCCUUGUUGAUGAUCACUCUUAAAUACAGCUGAGUGGACACUGGAAUUUUUUUUUUAAUACUAUAAAACAUUUAACAGAGAAAAACACUAGGUGAAAAGUGCGGCCAAAAAAUACCCUGCACCGCCCCCAGCCGCAGACGUUUCUUUGCAGGAGGAUGGCUCCACACACAAGGGCAGCGUCAGGAGCAGUGUCCGCCAGGCCCCGCCAGGCGAGCCAGAACUGGGAGGUGAGCAGAUUGUCCACCAGGCCCCGCCAGGCCAAAGAGGAGAGAAUAGUUGAGCUGGAAACGGAGAACGCUCUUCUUCACCUGAAACUGGCGGAGAUUUGUCCUUCGCUUUGACACAUGGGGAACGCUGGCGGAUCCUGCUUUGCUUAUUCCUACGUGACUGGCUGUGGCCACCUUUGGUCAGCUGGAAAGUGGCCCCCAGAGAUGUCCAUUCCCUCCUAAUUCUGGAUGCUGUGGACGUGACCUUGACCAGGGAUAAGACCUCUGCAGAC
Bos taurus (domestic cattle) is the source of this 549-nucleotide long non-coding RNA. The record is from Ensembl. NCBI's taxonomy places the organism in Eukaryota, Metazoa, Chordata, Mammalia, Artiodactyla, Bovidae.